CUGUGGUACAUUCAUUUUAAUAGUUCCUCAUGUAUGUGUAUAUAUACAGUUACACAUAACGCUAAUAUUACCUAAUAUAAUGUGUUUUCUUGGCAUUUCCAUACAACAUCAUCAUUCUGUCCAAUCAAGAUGCACGAUACAUAUAAAACUUGGGUAAUUUGUAAUGGGUUGUUUGAUUGGCUAUACAGCUCUUCCUCUAUACACACACAUUCCUCACAAUGUUCAUUUCCCCGACAAGAAAUAGUUAAAAUGGACACAUUUCUUCCAUAGUAGAGAGGAACUUCCAGUGUAGGUCAAGUGCUCUCUAUCUAACUGGACCUUCCCUUUCCACAAAGACAAAGGGCAUGUGCUUAUAUAAUAACCCUACCCGUCCUCCACCACAGUAAUGGUCUAGUCCAUACAUUUCUAGUUGAACAUGAUUCAUAUACCCCUUCCCCCUCCCUCUCUCAUGUCCCUACAACCCUGAACUGGUCCACUAUUACAGGGAGGACAAGGUGAUCAACACAAGUUUAUACAUUUUCAUCCCUAGCUCUAUUUGUACAUCAAUUAAUACAUUAACCUGUCCACCUCUGUAAAGCACAAUGAACGGUCAAGUCCAGACCAGUCCAUGGAUGGAAGGGGAGAGCAAACUGAUAAAGUAUAUACGGUACACAACACUUAGAAUGUAUUAUAACAGAUAAUCAACGGCUACCAGACUUCUGACACUCCACACCCUACAUCUGUUCACAUAGACAAACAGAACAAGUCUUAUUUGGAAAAAAAUUGCAGAGAAAUUAUUAUUUAAGAUGACCGGAAAUCUUUUUGAUUAAAAAUUCUUCUUAUGUUGACUUGAGUUGCAUCUGACAUAAGUGUUCAGUUGCUAAUAAGUUUUGUAUUUAGUCUAGCAUUAAACAGCCGUGCCGUGUGACUAUAAGCUUGGUGCCGCCAUGACGACACAAGGUGAUUCACAAUAAAUAAUCCUACUCUACAGGCCACAGACGCUAUAAAUACACCUUGACAUUAAAAAUCUCAUCAAAACAUGGAAAAUGUGUCUCAAAUCAAGAUAACAAAAGUAUAUCAUAAAAGAAAGAAAAUGAGGGUGAACCCCUAUGUCAACUCACAGCACUUACAUACAAUAUUUGAUCCCGAGCAAGCACUUGAUGAACUAUUGACCUUUGACCCGGCAGAGUUUAACGUCAAUAUAGACGUACAUGAGCACAGCAGGAUGCAGUGACCGAAAACAAAACAAUCUAUAAAUAUAUCUCAUCAGACUACAAUGUAAAAAGCUUCAGCAAAGAAACCUCAAGAAAAUUCAAACCGACUUUUUUGAAUCACAAUUAACUGUGUGGACAGGAGACUUGCAGUGCUCUUCCGGUCAGCUCAAGACACAAUCAAAGAGGAAAAAACACUACAAGUUGUCCUUCUCAUACCUCUUAGGGAUUACCAGGUAUUUUAACACUAGGAGCCCUUAGGGAUUACCAGGUAUUUUAACACUAGGAGCCCUUAGGGAUUACCAGGUAUUUUAACACUAGGAGCCCUUAGGUAUUACCAGGUAUUUUAACAGUAGGAGCCCUUAGGGAUUACCAGGUAUUUUAACAGUAGGAGCCCUUAGGAAUUACCAGGUAUUUUAACACUAGGAGCCCUUAGGAAUUACCAGGUAUUUUAACACUAGGAGCCCUUAGGGCUUCAAGUACAGGUACUUGUUCUCUACAAGCCAAGUAAAUGUGUACAAACCUGUUCUAUGAUGUGACUGGCUUGUUAGA
RNAcentral lists this long non-coding RNA (1742 nucleotides) under Mizuhopecten yessoensis (Yesso scallop). Its description in RNAcentral is "uncharacterized LOC110451011". Lineage: Eukaryota; Metazoa; Mollusca; Bivalvia; Pectinida; Pectinidae. The record is from RNAcentral.